This 494-nucleotide ribosomal RNA is filed under the name uncultured bacterium. RNAcentral describes it as "partial 16S ribosomal RNA". It matches the Rfam family "Bacterial small subunit ribosomal RNA", at positions 29 to 507 of the family's 1533-position model. The record is from RNAcentral.
ACGAACGCUGGCGGCGUGCCUAAUACAUGCAGGUAGAACGCUGAAGGAGGAGCUUGCUUCUCUGGAUGAGUUGCGAACGGGUGAGUAACGCGUAGGUAACCUGCCUGGUAGCGGGGGAUAACUAUUGGAAACGAUAGCUAAUACCGCAUAACAGUAGAUAUCGCAUGAUAUCUACUUGAAAGGUGCAAUUGCAUCACUACCAGAUGGACCUGCGUUGUAUUAGCUAGUUGGUGAGGUAACGGCUCACCAAGGCGACGAUACAUAGCCGACCUGAGAGGGUGAUCGGCCACACUGGGACUGAGACACGGCCCAGACUCCUACGGGAGGCAGCAGUAGGGAAUCUUCGGCAAUGGACGGAAGUCUGACCGAGCAACGCCGCGUGAGUGAAGAAGGUUUUCGGAUCGUAAAGCUCUGUUGUAAGAGAAGAACGAGUGUGAGAGUGGAAAGUUCACACUGUGACGGUAUCUUACCAGAAAGGGACGGCUAACUACGUG